GGGGUAUUCUGUGGGAGGUGCUUCGGGAGUACGGGGUACAUGGCUCUUUGCUACGAGCCAUUCAGGCCCUGUACAAACAAAGCAGGAGCUUGGUUCGCAUGGCCGGCAGUAAGUCAGACUUUUUCCCAGUGAGAGUUGGACUCCGUCAGGGCUGCCCUUUGUCACCGAUUCUAUUCAUAAUUUUUAUGGAUAGAAUUUCUAGGCGCAGUCAGGGGAUGGAGGGUGUCCGGUUUGGUGACCUCAGGGUCACAUCGCUGCUGUUCGCAGAUGAUGUGGUCCUAUUGGGGACAUCAGGCCGUGAACUUCAGCUUUCACUGGAUCGGUUUGCAGCCGAGUGUGAAGCGGCCGGGAUGAGGAUCAGUACCUCCAAAUCCGAGGCCAUGGUUCUCACGCGGGAAAGGGUGGAGAGCCCUCUCUGGGUCGGGGAUGAGCUCUUGCCUCAAGUGGAGGAGUUUAAGUAUCUCGGGGUCUUGUUCACGAGUGAUGGUACAAGGGAGCGGGAGAUUGACAGGCGGAUUGGUGCUGGGUCAGCAGUGAUGCGGGCUCUUUACCGGUCUGUUGUGGUAAAGAAAGAGCUGAGCCAUAAGGCAAGGCUCUCGAUUUACUGGUCGAUCUAUGUUCCCACCCUCACCUAUGGUCAUGAGCUUUGGGUAAUGACCGAAAGAACGAGAUCGCGAAUACAAGCGGCUGAAAUGAGUUUCCUCCGCAGGGUGGCUGGACUCUCCCUUAGAGAUAGGGUGAGAAGUUCGGUCAUCCGAGAGGGACUCGGAGUAGAGCCGCUGCUUCUUCACGUCGAGAGGAGCCAGUUGAGGUGGUUCGGGCAUCUUGUUAGGAUGCCUCCUGGACGCCUCCCUUGGGAGGUGUCACAGGCAAGUCCACCGGGGAGGAGACCCCGGGGAAGACCCAGGACACGCUGGCGUGACUAUAUCGCCCAGCUGGCCUGGGAGCGCCUCGGAAUCCCUCCCAGGGAGCUAGUGGAAGUGGCUGGGGAUAGGGAGGUCUGGGCUUCAUUGCUCAGGAUGCUGCCCCCGCGACCCGAACCCCGGAGAAGCGGAAGAUGAUGGAUGGAUGGAUGG
Molecule: long non-coding RNA, 1076 nt
Organism: Pygocentrus nattereri (red-bellied piranha)
Lineage: Eukaryota; Metazoa; Chordata; Actinopteri; Characiformes; Serrasalmidae
Source: Ensembl